GAUGAACGCUGGCGGCGUGCCUAAUACAUGCAAGUCGAGCGAACAGACGAGGAGCUUGCUCCUCUGACGUUAGCGGCGGACGGGUGAGUAACACGUGGAUAACCUACCUAUAAGACUGGGAUAACUUCGGGAAACCGGAGCUAAUACCGGAUAAUAUAUUGAACCGCAUGGUUCAAUAGUGAAAGACGGUUUUGCUGUCACUUAUAGAUGGAUCCGCGCCGCAUUAGCUAGUUGGUAAGGUAACGGCUUACCAAGGCGACGAUGCGUAGCCGACCUGAGAGGGUGAUCGGCCACACUGGAACUGAGACACGGUCCAGACUCCUACGGGAGGCAGCAGUAGGGAAUCUGCCGCAAUGGGCGUAAGCCUGACGGAGCAACGCCGCGUGAGUGAUGAAGGUCUUCGGAUCGUAAAACUCUGUUAUUAGGGAAGAACAAAUGUGUAAGUAACUAUGCACGUCUUGACGGUACCUAAUCAGAAAGCCACGGCUAACUACGUG
Molecule: ribosomal RNA, 497 nt
Filed under: uncultured bacterium
Lineage: Bacteria
Description: partial 16S ribosomal RNA
Rfam family: Bacterial small subunit ribosomal RNA
Source: RNAcentral